GAUGAAGAACGUAGCGAAAUGCGAUAAGUAAUGUGAAUUGCAGAAUUCAGUGAAUCAUCGAAUCUUUGAACGCACAUUGCGCCCGUCAGUAUUCUGGCGGGCAUGCCUGUUCGAGCGUCAUUACGCCCCUCAAGUCCCCUGUGGACUUGGUGUUGGGGAUCGGCGAGGCUGGUUUUCCAGCACAGCCGUCCCUUAAAUUAAUUGGCGGUCUCGCCGUGGCCCUCCUCUGCGCAGUAGUAAAACACUCGCAACAAGAGCCCGGCGCGGUCCACUGCCGUAAAACCCCCCAACUUUUUAUAGUUGACCUCGAAUCAGGUAGGACUACCCGCUGAACUUAAGCAUAUCAAUAAGCGGAGGA
Molecule: unclassified non-coding RNA, 358 nt
Filed under: soil metagenome
Description: partial contains 5.8S ribosomal RNA, internal transcribed spacer 2, and large subunit ribosomal RNA
Rfam family: 5.8S ribosomal RNA (bases 1-120)
Source: RNAcentral